GACGAACGCUGGCGGCAUGCCUAACACAUGCAAGUCUAGGGGUAGCAAUACCACUGGCGCGCGGGUGAGUAACACGUAGGUUAUCUGCCCCCAUCACAGACAUAACCCCGGGAAACCGGGGCUAAUAUCUGAUGAGGUCGCGAGAUCAAAGCUUCGGCGGAUGGGGAUGAGCCUGCGGCUGAUUAGCUAGUUGGUGAGGUAAUGGCUCACCAAGGCGACGAUCAGUAGCUGGUCUGAGAGGACGAACAGCCACACUGGAACUGAGACACGGUCCAGACCCCUACGGGAGGCAGCAGUGAGGAAUAUUGGUCAAUGGGAGCAAUCCUGAACCAGCAAUGCCGCGUGUGGGAUGACAGGGCUUCGCCUUGUAAACCACUGUCGGACGGGACGAAAGGAGGCCUCGGGCCUCUGGGACGGUACCGUCAAAGGAAGGGUCGGCUAACUACGUGCCAGCAGCCGCGGUAAU
This 466-nucleotide ribosomal RNA is filed under the name uncultured bacterium. RNAcentral's name for it is "bacterial SSU rRNA". It matches the Rfam family "Bacterial small subunit ribosomal RNA", at positions 28 to 524 of the family's 1533-position model. The record is from RNAcentral.